UACGUAGGGACCGAGCGUUGUCCGGAAUCAUUGGGCGUAAAGAGCGUGUAGGCGGCCACUUAAGUCCUGCGUGAAAUCUUGCGGCUCAACCGCAAGCGGUCGUGGGAACCUGGGUGGCUAGAGUGCGGGAGAGGAGAGUGGAAUUCCUGGUGUAGCGGUGGAAUGCGCAGAUAUCAGGAAGAACACCCGUGGCGAAGGCGGCUCUCUGGAACGCAACUGACGCUGAGACGCGAAAGCGUGGGGAGCAAACAGG
RNAcentral lists this ribosomal RNA (253 nucleotides) under uncultured bacterium. RNAcentral's name for it is "partial 16S ribosomal RNA". It matches the Rfam family "Bacterial small subunit ribosomal RNA", at positions 524 to 776 of the family's 1533-position model. The record is from RNAcentral.